GACGAACGCUGGCGGCGUGCUUAACACAUGCAAGUCGAACGCUGAAGCUUGGUGCUUGCACUGGGUGGAUGAGUGGCGAACGGGUGAGUAAUACGUGAGUAACCUGCCCUUGACUCUGGGAUAAGCCUGGGAAACUGGGUCUAAUACUGGAUACGACAUGUCACCGCAUGGUGGUGUGUGGAAAGGGUUUUACUGGUUUUGGAUGGGCUCACGGCCUAUCAGCUUGUUGGUGGGGUAAUGGCUCACCAAGGCGACGACGGGUAGCCGGCCUGAGAGGGUGACCGGCCACACUGGGACUGAGACACGGCCCAGACUCCUACGGGAGGCAGAAGUGGGGAAUAUUGCACAAUGGGCGGAAGCCUGAUGCAGCGACGCCGCGUGAGGGAUGACGGCCUUCGGGUUGUAAACCUCUUUCAGCACGGAAGAAGCGAAAGUGACGGUACGUGCAGAAGAAGCGCCGGCUAACUACGUG
This 472-nucleotide ribosomal RNA is filed under the name uncultured bacterium. RNAcentral's name for it is "partial 16S ribosomal RNA". It matches the Rfam family "Bacterial small subunit ribosomal RNA", at positions 28 to 507 of the family's 1533-position model. The record is from RNAcentral.